This 342-nucleotide unclassified non-coding RNA is filed under the name soil metagenome. Its description in RNAcentral is "partial contains 5.8S ribosomal RNA, internal transcribed spacer 2, and large subunit ribosomal RNA". The stretch from base 1 to 120 matches the Rfam family "5.8S ribosomal RNA", at positions 35 to 154 of the family's 154-position model. The record is from RNAcentral.
GAUGAAGAACGCAGCGAAAUGCGAUAAGUAGUGUGAAUUGCAGAAUUCAGUGAAUCAUCGAAUCUUUGAACGCACAUUGCGGCCAUAGGUAUUCCUUUGGCCAUGCCUGUUCGAGCGUCAUUUACACCCUCAAGCCUAGCUUGGUGUUGGGCGCCUGUCCCGCCGUUUUCGCGCGCGGACUCGCCUCAAAGUCAUUGGCGGCGGUCGUGCCGGCCCCCUCGCGCAGCACAUUUGCGCUUCUCGGAGGCCCGGCGGAUCCGCGCUCCAGCAAGAUCUUUCACGACUUGACCUCGGAUCAGGUAGGGAUACCCGCUGAACUUAAGCAUAUCAAUAAGCGGAGGA